This 301-nucleotide ribosomal RNA is filed under the name uncultured bacterium. RNAcentral describes it as "partial 16S ribosomal RNA". It matches the Rfam family "Bacterial small subunit ribosomal RNA", at positions 509 to 807 of the family's 1533-position model. The record is from RNAcentral.
CAGCCGCCGCGGUAAUACGAAGGGUGCAAGCGUUAAUCGGAAUUACUGGGCGUAAAGGGCGUGUAGGCGGCCUGGGGCGUCCCAUGUGAAAGGCCACGGCUCAACCGUGGGGGAGCGUGGGAUACGCUCAGGCUAGAGGGUGGGAGAGGGUGGUGGAAUUCCCGGAGUAGCGGUGAAAUGCGCAGAUACCGGGAGGAACGCCGAUGGCGAAGGCAGCCACCUGGUCCACUUCUGACGCUGAGGCGCGAAAGCGUGGGGAGCAAACCGGAUUAGAUACCCCCGUAGUCCCUGUCUCUUAUAC